GCCAGCAUGGCGUAAUGGUUUGAGCAUUGGACUACAGCUCUGGAGACGAGGGUUCGAAUUCCCGCUCAGACA
RNAcentral lists this transfer RNA (72 nucleotides) under Phrynosoma platyrhinos (Desert horned lizard). RNAcentral's name for it is "tRNA-OTHER". The record is from RNAcentral. Lineage: Eukaryota; Metazoa; Chordata; Lepidosauria; Squamata; Phrynosomatidae.